AGGGCUUUUUUACCAUCAUGAACAAAACGUUUGUCAAGUAUUUGCACAUUACCAAAUUGACAAAAACAUCAAAUUCCAUACUUAUAGAAUCUGGACUCUGGCCAUGGAUUUGGGGUUUUUGGUCUUUAUCAUGGCUUCAUAGUGUGGGGAAGAAGAGGAAAAUCUGCCUGAUCCAUCCUAAGAAAGCAACACAAAAGCUUCACAGCACCAGGAAUAAUAAGACCAUUUUGUCAGGAUCACUUUGAAUUAUCCUCCACACUGCUUGCAAUGCCUCCCAGUGACACUUCAAGAAGAUGGUAGCAACCGCCUGUUGUCAGUUACUGUGACUUUAUCUAGAUUCAGAAGCUCAGGGAAAAGUGGAGCUCAUCAGCAGGAAGAGAAAGAAGUGGAAUGUUAAGUUAUUGAGAAGUAUAUGCCAUUCAAGAUCAGAAAAGUUUGUUUUUAUCAUAUACCAUACAUAGUCUCAUCACCUGAGACACUGGAGAGAAUGCAAUUUGUCAAGGAAUUCAUGAUUAUAAGCAAUAUUUCCAUUUUCACAAGAUUUUUUGAUGAGUGAAUUUUGAAAUCAUAUUUAUAUAAAUGAACA
Gopherus evgoodei (Goodes thornscrub tortoise) is the source of this 586-nucleotide long non-coding RNA. RefSeq lists it as uncharacterized. NCBI's taxonomy places the organism in Eukaryota, Metazoa, Chordata, Testudines, Testudinidae. The transcript is spliced from 3 exons. The record is from RefSeq and is a predicted model, not a curated record.